Molecule: long non-coding RNA, 10133 nt
Filed under: Olea europaea (common olive)
Lineage: Eukaryota; Viridiplantae; Streptophyta; Magnoliopsida; Lamiales; Oleaceae
Description: long non-coding RNA (OEUR_LNC009583)
Source: RNAcentral
ACUACAUUGCCACCCCGAAACCUAAUGGCUAUCAGAGUCUUCAUACUACAGUUAUACCGUUUCUUUAUGAGAGUAUGUUUAGGUUGGAAGUUCUGGUUAGUCAUUUUGAUCUCUCUAAUUUUAAGCUCUAUCUUGAGCAUCAUCUAGAUGCUUAUGGUAUAUGAUUAUUAGUUGCAUGUUCUCUCAUCAUAUGUCACUUGCAAGGAAUUCAAUUUAUUCUUAUAUUACUUUGGUUGGCAGAUUAGAACUGAAGAGAUGGAUUUGAUUGCUGAAAGAGGGAUUGCUGCACAUUAUAGUGGGAAAGUUUUUGUGAAUGGCUUAGUUGGACAUGUUAUGCCAAAUGGCAGUAGCACCCGAGGGAAAACGGUUUGCCUAAAUAAUGCCAAUGUUGCCCUCAGGGUAGAAUAUCUUUUUACUCUAUAGUUUCACAUGUGGAAAUCAUUCUUCUGUUAGGGGGUCUUAGAUUAAGUGCUUUGUACUUGACUGCAUCACUAAUUCAAUGGUGGUACUCCCUUUUGUCUUCAGAUAGGCUGGCUGAAUGCAAUUAGGGAAUGGCAAGAGGAGUUCGUUGGGAACAUGAGCUCCAGAGAGUUUGUUGACACUGUCACCAGAGAUCUUUUAGGCAGUCGUGUCUUUGUAUUUACACCCAGAGGAGAGGUAAUAGUUAUCAUUGAUGUUGCGGGAAAAGGAACUGUGUCGAAUGCUUAUUUAGUUCUUAAUUUCCUACAGAUUAAAAAUCUACCUAAAGGAGCGACUGUCAUCGAUUAUGCAUAUAUGAUACACACUGAAGUUGGCAACAAAAUGGUGGCUGCAAAGGUAAUGGUUCUGUGUCUGAAGUAUAUUUUUUAUUUAUGAAUUCUGGUUACACUGUUGCAACUUUCUUCUGUCUGAAUUCUGGUCUAAAUGCCAAAAUUUUCUUUUUGCAGGUCAAUGGCAAUCUUGUAUCUCCAACACAUAUUCUUGCUAAUGCUGAAGUUGUGGAGAUAAUAACUUACAAUGUUAGUUGAUGUGAAUUUUUGACUUGUGUUUGACCCCUUGUAGAUCCAAUCUACUUCUUGCAUGGUUAGCUUCGUAUCAAUUAUCAUGCGUGGCCUACUUGAUGAAACUGGGACAUCUGCUAGUUUCAAGUUUUAUUUUUAUGAUAUAUAGAGUUUGAUGCUCAGAUAUACUCAUCUGAAAUCGAACUUGCAUGUUCAUGUUCCUACACCAUUUGGGAAGUUUAACAUUUCUCUGUUAUUUUUUGUUAGUCUAUUAUUUUCAUUAAGCAGCGUGUGUUACUCCCUUGUGACAUUUCCUGUCUUCUUGAAGUGAAUAUCCCCUUUUUCUGGCUUUUGCAUUCUAAUGGUAGAAUAUCUUAUCUAGUUGUGUACCAUUUCCUACAUACAGCUUACAAGUUUUUUCCCUUUUUAGGGGCUCUCAAGUAAAUCUGCCUUCCAGAGACAUAAGCAGUGGCUGCAACAUGCAAAAACACGCAGUGCACGACACAAGAUAAUGAAAGUAGGUUUAUCUCUGCCUCAGAACAUAUGUCGGUUUACCAACAACUUGUGUUAGCCUUUUUAAUCUGGACACCAUACUCUUCUCAGUUCUUAAAGGAGCAAGCUGCACUAUCAGCAACUGAAAUAACUGCUGAUACGGUGAAGGAAUUCACUGCUGAAUCUGAAGAGGAAAGUGAAGUGGAAGAGAUCGUGAAUUACUCUAAAGGGGCUAAACACACUUGGGGGAAUAUAUUGAAGAAUAUUGUGCAAAUGUCAUCAUCGAAGACGAGUGGUGAAGAUAUUUUUCAGUUCAAUAAGAGGGGCAUUCAGAUUGCUAAGGUUAAUGGGAUUCAUAACAAGCACAUGCAGCAUGUGAGUUUGAGGGCCAAUGAAGAAGUUUUAUCUCAAGGCAAUGGUGUUGCCAAGAUGAUUCUAGCCAACAUUCCAAUAUACAGGGAAGUUUUGCCUGGGUUAGAGUGCUGGCGAGCUAGCAAGGUUGCAUCUUGGUGCAACCUUCAGGGGCACUCUGUCCAGUGGUUCUGCAUAGUGUGCAUAGAUCGAAGAGGUAAUGUUUCAUACUGCUAUGCUACUUUUAGGUCUAGUGCAUGUUUGGCUAAGCUUAAAAUGUUUAGUCGUAAGUGAAUAAGUGAGUUUUAUAAUAAAUAAUUUUUUUAUUUGGUCAAAAUUUCUAGUUACUUGUGUUGACUAUAAAGCAAGACCUAAUUUCAAAUUAUAUAUAUAUAUUUUACUUUAGAAGUAGAAAAAGGGUAAGCUAUCCAAUCAUGUUUGUGAAAGCUUAGUCAAACACGCUGAACCUUCUCAUCCUUAUUUUAAAUGUACGAGGCAUAUUUUGAUGGUGAAUCAGGUUGUAUCAAUAUUUUACAAUUUCAUAUAUUGGCUAAUUGAUAGGUCUUAUGAAAUAUUCUUCCUAUGUUUAUGAUCAAAGAUCAAAAUCAAGGGAACUUUAUUUGUUGUGGUGAUUGGAAGAUUUAACUGUUUUGGAAAUACUAUUAUGCUUCUGUGUAACUUGGCUGUAAUAUGCAUUCUCAACUCUCUACAUGAUGCAUUAGUAACCUUCUAAUUAUGCGGUUCAAAAUUUUAUCAAUGACUGCCAGGUAUGAUGGCAGACAUCACGGCUGCAUUGGCAGCUGAAGGAAUUACCAUAUGUUCUUGUGCGGUGAGCUCAAAAAAAUAAUAUUGUUUUCUUUUUAUUAUUAUUAUUUUUUUUCAAAACGCCUUUGUAGCAAAUAUUCAAUGACUCGUACUUGCCACAAGCUAAAAUUAAUUUUUACAUCAUAAUUUAUCUACGUCAUAUUUCACACUGGUCAAAUUUUUUCUUUUGCCACAAUACUACAAACCAGCUAACGUUCUAAUAUCCCUUGUUUGGAAUUAAAAAUAUUCUUUUAUUUGUCUAAAGAAUUUUUGUUGUUCAUAGAAAAAUAGAAAGCAAGAAACCCCCAAGUCUUAACAUGAUAUUAGAGCCCAUCAUGUUCCAACAAGCGAUUCAAUCCGAUUAAGACUUAAUAAAUGAGCAUGCAAAUUUCAAUAUUGGUCUGCUUAAACGAGCAAAUAAAAUAAGCAUACAUAUUUCAAGAUUGGUUUGUUCAAACGAGCCACUAUCAUGGAUAUGUUAAGAGAUAAAAUUUCGCAUUAGAUAAAAAUGAAAACAUAGACAAACUUAUAAGACUUUAGAUUACCCUUCUUAAUAAGGUUGACAUUUUAAAAUGAAAUUUGAAUGAGAAACUAUUAUCCAUGUUGAACAAAUCCAUCUGAAUGAGCGGUAUCUAUAUACAUGUGCUUGAAAUACAUAUGUUAACAUGUAUGUAAAGAUAAAAAUGAACAUUCGACUUUAUUUAGAUCGUGUUUGAUUUAGUAUUUAAAAAUCAAAAUUUUAAUAAAUUUGAUUUGAUUAAAAGUCUUAUUGAAAAGUUCAUGAAAAUUGUGAAUUCCUUGAAAUGUGCAAUUAGAAACGAGUUUGGAAAAAAACAAAAUGAAUUUUAAAAUAUAGAGGCUAAACUGGAUAAUGAAUUGAUCCGAUUAAGAAGAAAGGAGUGGGGGUUUUCGUUAGUCAAUUUUAAUUCUAGAAACACUUGUAUCGAACGUUGAUUGAUGUAUACUAAUUCAAGCCUCUAAGUUACGUCCAUAUAUAGGUACCUUCUCUUCGAGGAAGUAUAUUCCUAUGUGAAUUGAUAUGGAAAAGGGUCUCCCCUACUUGAAGUUGGAUUUUUAUUGUAAAAGGGGGAAUAUGCCAUUAUAUUCAUACGACUACUCCUCUCUUACCUAAAUGUGUAGACUUCAAUUUUGUUAUUAUAUGUAUGCUUUUACCUUUUUCACAUUUUCUUGCAUUGCUUUCUCUAUGUUUAAGUUAUAUUUAUGGUUCAUUUUAAAGAAUAUAUCGAAUUAUCAUGGUUAUAAUCACUUUGACGAGGUUUAUGCCUCUCCUCAAAGCAUUAAAUCCAUAUAUGUUGUGUUGCUAGGAGAAUUUGAAUUUAUAAGAAAGGUGUCAUAGAAUUUGAUUUUCUUUAUUACAUAAUAAGCGUAGUUCAUGUGAAUUUCUUUUCAUAUUUUGAAUUUUUUUAGUUUUUAAAAAAUAAUAUAAUCAAGCAUCAAAAGGGAUAAGGGAAAGAAGAAAAAUAUUUUCUUUGCAUUGACCAAUUUAUUGAUUUACGAAUUAAACUUUGGGAGUUAAUUGAGCUUUAAAAGAAAAGGUUUGGAAAAAUAAAUUUUUAAGACAACCUAACGUGGCAGUAGUUAAAAUUGAGUUACUUUAAAUAAAUUCAAUCAUUAAAAUUAUAAAUUUAAUUGAUCUAUAUCUACUAAACAUAAGAUUUAACUUGAGAUGGUAGAUGAAUUAAUUUAGACAAAUAUUUGUUAUAAAUUAUAUUUCUUUAAAAAUUAGACCAGUUACUUGAAACAGUCUCGUCAAGAUUUGAUGUAUAGAUAACUCUAAAUAAAUUUGAUUAAUUAUAUAAGUCACAGAAAAACUUGUCUCAAGUCUUGUUCUAUCUAAUAAACUUAUAAAAGUCAAAAAAAUUUGAUUGAAAUUUUAUAUAAAAUGGCCUACCUAGGUCAAUUCGUGGGGGUGCGAUCACGUUCACUUAAAUCAUACCUUAAUUUUCUGCACACAAAAUUAGCCCACAGAGAAAUAAUGAAAUAUUAUCAAAAUAAAUAAAAAUAAAAAUAAAAAUAUCUUCACCUUAAGGCAUUUAUGUGGUCUCGACUGAAACUCCAUUUUAUCCCCCCCCGCCUCUCUUUGUUUCUCACUCUAGAUUAUCUCAAUCUCUUUCACCACCUGCCUUCAAUCCACCCCUUAACUAAGCCCUCUCUAAUUUUGAAUAACUAGGUUUUUUCUCCUUUAGCCGAAUAGAAAUCUUUUGAUUCUAUAUUUUAGUGAGCUUUGGAUUCUGCUUAUUUGAUUUUUGUUUCAGAACUGUAGUUUAGUGUGCGUUUCGUUCAAUGCGUGUUUUGUGGACCGAUGCUUCGAAUUAGAAAUGGCUCCUGCUGCUUCAAUGUCAGGUCCGUAUUACUUUCCGCUCUGAUGUUGAUUUAGUUUGUAAUUUGGUUGAGCUAGUGUGUAUUUUUCGGAAAUGUUUGAUUAAUUUUGUGCGAUUGAGAUUUUUUUUUCGAUUUUGGCAGUGUCUGUAGAAUGCUUGAAUAUAUUUAAGUUCUGGAAAGGGGAUGUGAGUGGAAAAUAUGAUUGCAGCGUGCUCUCGUGUGCUUCUAAGGCUCCAAGAGCACUCACGGGAUUUCUCGCAAGCACCGCUCAUCCUUCGCACCAUUGUGGAAGAACUGCGAGAAGAAAUCACAUUUCAUGUGUGAGUAUUUACCUGAAUUUUAGAGAUUUUAUGCAUCAAAAUUCAUCACAUGGCUGAUCAAGAACACAUAAGUUUCGAAAUGUUAUCGCGCUAUAUCUAGCCAACUUCAAAUUUAGUAUGAACAAGGCUAGGUUUGUUGUUCUAUAUCUAGAUUUUCUUUUGGAAUUGCUAUUUUUCUUUUCUUAGGAAGGUUGGAAUAGUUAAUUUUAUAGAAUAAUUUAGAAAUUUUAAGUCCUACAAAAAAUUGUAUUUAAGCGAACCAGUUGAUGAAUAUCAGAAUGGAUGUAGUUUUGAGCAAUGAGAGAUUUUUCUGAGGAGUUCUUAUAGGAUAGAAAUCGUGGCUGAUGUAAGUUUGCUAAGUAAUUGAAAGCAUGGAAGUGUUAAAUAAUCUGUCUUGUGUUUAUUUAGCUGAGUGUUUGCUUGUUUCUGUAAUUUCUGACUGUUAAUGUGUACUUAAACUCGUCUUUGCUUUGUAUAUCAUUGAGUUCUAUAUGAGUACUCAUUCCUUCCAUAGCUGAAAUGUGAUUCACAAAUUUAUUAUCUGUUAUUUCUAUUUUAAUCGCAAUAUAUGUUUGUUUGCCUUCACCAGCAGCAAGUGGCCUUCUCUUUUUCUACUCCUCAAUCGUUCUUUUACUUGUGCCAGAAAUAUGAAUCCCAUUAUUUGGGAGGAUGGUAUUCACAGGAAGCCUCAGACUCCAUCCUUCCACAAAAGCUCUUAAGCUCGAGAAUGGUUCAUUUGGCUACUGGAAAAUGUAAUUCGCGUAGUGUACCAUCUUCUUCACAAGCAUGCGAGGUUUCUCCUGACAGCUUGUGGGAGGUAUGUGAAAUGACUCAUUUUUCAUCAAUUGUUCGCAUAAAAAUGUAAUUUAUGAAUCUAAAAAACUAUAUGAAAUCCAUCUCAGAUAACACGAUAAUGAUUACUAUUGUGAAAGGCAAAAGGUAGCAGGCAUGGAAGAUAAAUUAAGAAAGAAGAUUGAAUGGCAUGAUUACUAUAAAUCUUAAAUCUUGUCGAAAAGUAGGACAUGAAAUGAUGAUGUUGAAAAAUGCGAUUUCUGGUGAAACUCUCGAGCUAAUUGCACUUGAGUCACAAAGCUAAAAGAAUCCAUAUAUUUGCCCUGAUAGCAGGGAAAGGCUUGAUCUGAACAUGACAGUUCGUUUGAGUGCCAAAAAUGGAGUAACAACUUUGCAGUACUGAUGCAAUUUUUUUCUUUGUAUCAGGAUCUCAAACCUACCAUCCAAUAUCUCUCAUCAAAAGAAUUGGAAUUGGUUCGUAAUGCGCUGAAUGUAAGUUUAUUUUGUUCUUCAUAAAUUCUUAGUUGCUCUAGUUGUUAUUAUCUUCUAGUUCUCUGGCCUCAAUGCUCAUUUUUUUUUAUUUUUCUCGUUUUCCUAUAUUUCUUAAUUUACCUUUUUGCCCCUCAACCUCUACCUCCCAUAUUUAUAAAUUUUUGACUCCUACGGAAGAGAUACUGCUGAGAAACUCUUGUGUCGUACAGUCAGGAAGGAUUCAGUUGUCAAACCUUAAUUCUAUGUCGUUUUCUUUUUUGGCUUGUUACACAGCUUGCUUUUGAGGCCCACGAUGGUCAAAAGAGGCGCAGUGGAGAGCCCUUUAUUAUUCACCCAGUUGCAGUUGCACAAAUUCUUGGAGAACUUGUGAGUUAUGCAGAUUAAUCAUCUUUAUCUAUCUCUAUAGCUGAUGAGCGUUUGAUUUUCUUUUAUUAUUUGGCACUUGAUUUGAUUAUGACAAUCACUUUUUACUUAAUUUCUGUCAUUUCAGGAAUUGGAUUGGGAGUCAAUUGCUGCUGGUUUGUUACAUGACACGGUGGAAGAUACAAAUAUUGUUACAUUUGAAAGAAUAGAGAAGAAUUUUGGCUCUACUGUUCGUCACAUUGUUGAAGGGGAAACUAAAGUUAGUUUCAUGCACUUUAUUCUUUGAUAGCUUUUUUCUUUUUUCACACGUUAUUUUCUUAUUUCCCUUUAUCUAAAUCUCCUCUUUAGUGUUAAGUUGACACUCAUUGUUGAACAUUUAAUACUCAUAAGUUAUUUGUCUCUGUUAAUCCAGGUAUCGAAACUUGGGAAACUUAAGUCUAAGGAUGAGAAUCAUUCUGUUCAAGAUGUCAAGGCAGAUGACCUCCGACAGAUGUUUCUAGCCAUGACCGAAGAGGUAUGACACUUGUAUGUGUAGACAUAUAGUAAUAUCGUUGUUUCUGCACUACAAUCUGUAACAACAAAGUGUUGGGUGUUUCAGGUUCGCGUUAUAAUAGUCAAAUUAGCUGACAGAUUGCAUAACAUGCGCACGCUUUCGCAUAUGCCUCCACACAAGCAGGUGUAUAUAUUGGAACUUUUGUUCAAUUACUAUCUGAUUCCAAAUUGUUCUUAAUGGUAUCUAUCGUGUCCAGUCCAGCAUAGCCCUGGAGACACUGCAGGUUUUUGCUCCUCUGGCAAAAUUGCUUGGAAUUUACCAAAUCAAGGUACGCUAUUUCCUACUAUGCUGAUUGUUGUUAAAUCAUCUUGGAUUACAUGAUAUAAAGCUUUGUGUGGUAUCUCUAUCGACCUUUAAAAUAAAUACCAUGUUCUGCCCACAUUAUCCAAAUUCUAUUUUAGAUUAUUAUUGUGAAUUUGUGAUUGACAUCCGUUGAGGCUUAUAGAAUUAAUUUUUGAACCCAUAAUAUGUAUCAUAUUCUGCCUUCAAUUCUGUUUUGUUUCAUGUGCUUUCUACCAGGAAAUUCCCAUUGUUGUUUCGCUACAAUUAACUAGUAAUUGUCAUGUUGUUCUGCCCCUACGUUUACUGAUUUACGUCCCUGGGGCAUAAACCCUAUACUAGACUGUAUGUGGGCCCAAUCAAAUCGCGCAUUUCCAUUUUUUGCACCUUUGGCAUCCAGAUGACGACCCAAGGUUUACCUUUUCAUGGCAUCUAUUCAACUAGAACACAUGAAAUGUUGGACAUUCCAUUCUUAACUUCACUAAAGUGGUCAACUGGAAGCUGGAGUAGGGACAUCCUAGAUCUAUAUUGAACGGCUGUUAAUCUCCUUCACCAUUUGAUUUCUAUGCCAAACUAUUUUUUUAUUCUUCUGUGCAAAAUUUUUAGUAAAUAAUUGGUCAUACAAAUGAUUUAAAAAUCUAUAAUAAUUAAACUUCAAAUAUUCUAUAAAGCUAUAUAUUCGCACGUGACACGGGCACUAUAAACCUUUUUUUUGCUGUAGUUGGAACCUGUACAAUUAAUCUCACUCUGCGUAUCCAGUAAUUAUUUGUACGCCUACCAUAUCUUUUAUCUUUUCAUCUCCACCCCAGAUCGAUCAUUUCCUUUGUUGUUACAGGCCACAUUUAGAAAGGUCCUAUGCCGGUCAACAAUCACUUCUAGUGCCAUUAUGUGAUUUCCCUGGACAUAAAACUGCUUUUAACUAAACCUUGUCAUUUCACCUGCAAUACCUUCUCUCUACACAAUUUUCCUGUACUUGGGUAUAUGGUUAUUAUAUUACAUUUUCUGCUUAUCUUUCCAUUUUCUUUCUUGCAGUCAGAACUUGAAAAUCUGGCAUUUAUGUACACAAAUGCUCAAGAUUAUGCUAAGGUCAGGAUAAGAAUUUCAGAACUUUAUAAAGAACACGAGAAAGAACUUGAAGAGGUAAUUUACGUUAUUCUGUGAUCCAAUAUGUGAUAGUGCAGCAAGCUAAUUUUCGGAUGCAUUGAUGGGGGUUAUAUGACUUUUUGGUUGUACUUUUUAAUUUAUUUCAGUGUAAUUUACUGAACUCUUUUGUUCUUCCAUUAGGCAAACAAAAUAUUAAUGAAGAGGAUUCAGGAUGACCAAUUCCUAGAUCUUAUGACGGUGAAAACUGAAGUUCAAUCUGUAUGCAAGGAACCUUACAGGUGAUCCUCGACCUUGACCUCUUUCUCUCUCAUUUCAGAUGCAUUGAUUUAUUUGUGUAUGUUCGUCAUGGUGAAUGUCUGUUCUCUUUUCUGUCCUUCAAAUUUUUAGUUACUGCCCUGUUGCGGUAUAACCCCAACCAUCAACCACCAACCUCAUCUCUUGGAAUAGAACUUGAACUAUUAGAUGUACAGAAAUUCCACUUAUUGAUAUGGAAGUCUGCAUAGAGUAAUGGAGAUGUCUCUGACUCUAAAUUCUUUUAUAUAUAUGCAGCAUCUAUAAAGCUGUACUUAAAUCUAGAAGCUCGAUAAAUGAAGUCAACCAAAUUGCACAGGUAUUGCCAUCAUUUUCCUCCAUCAUUUUGAUGUGCCAUUUUCUGUUACAAUCUCUCACUUCUCUGAAUAUUUUUCCUACCAGCUUCGAAUAAUUAUAAAACCGAAGCCAUGCGUUGGAGUCGGACCCCUGUGUAAUGCACAGCAGGUAAACUGAUAUCUAGUUUAAAGCAUCUAACGUCGCGUUCUAAAUUACAGUCCUAAUUUAUCUCUCUAACUGAAAUUUCCUUUGCAGAUAUGCUAUCAUGUUCUCGGGCUGGUGCAUGGAAUUUGGACUCCUAUUCCUCGAGCUGUAUGUCUGUUCAUCCCCUUGUUUUUAGUUUCAAGAUGCUUUUACUACAUAUUGUUUGUACAGCAUAUUGAGGUGUAUUUUUUCCUUUUUCCCUUUCAUUGUUUGGGAACCAGAUUAAGGACUACAUUGCCACCCCGAAACCUAAUGGCUAUCAGAGUCUUCAUACUACAGUUAUACCGUUUCUUUAUGAGAGUAUGUUUAGGCUGGAAGUUCUGGUUAGUCAUUUUGAUCUCUCUAAUUUUAAGCUCUAUCUUGAGCAUCAUCUAGAUGCUUAUGGUAUAUGAUUAUUAGUUGCAUGUUCUCUCAUCAUAUGUCACUUGCAAGGAAUUCAAUUUAUUCUUAUAUUACUUUGGUUGGCAG